This 402-nucleotide ribosomal RNA is filed under the name uncultured bacterium. RNAcentral describes it as "bacterial SSU rRNA". It matches the Rfam family "Bacterial small subunit ribosomal RNA", at positions 355 to 774 of the family's 1533-position model. The record is from RNAcentral.
UGGGGAAUCUUGCACAAUGGGGGCAACCCUGAUGCAGCGACGCCGCGUGAGCGAUGAAUCCCUUCGGGGCGUAAAGCUCUUUCGACCGGAACGAUAAUGACGGUACCGGGAGAAGAAGCUGCGGCUAACUACGUGCCAGCAGCCGCGGUAAUACGUAGGCAGCAAGCGUUGUUCGGAGUUACUGGGCGUAAAGAGUGCGUAGGCGGUUUUCUAAGUUCGGUGUGAAAUCUCCCGGCUUAACUGGGAGGGUGCGCCGAAGACUGGGAAGCUGGAGUGUGGGAAAGGCAGGCGGAAUUCCUGGUGUAGCGGUGAAAUGCGUAGAUAUCAGGAGGAACACCGGCGGUGUAGACGGCUUGCUAGACCAUAACUGACGCUGAGGCACGAAAGCGUGGGUAGCAAACA